RNAcentral lists this transfer RNA (72 nucleotides) under Danionella translucida. It matches the Rfam family "tRNA". From Rfam's summary of the family: Transfer RNA (tRNA) molecules are approximately 80 nucleotides in length. Lineage: Eukaryota; Metazoa; Chordata; Actinopteri; Cypriniformes; Danionidae. The record is from Rfam by way of RNAcentral. RNAcentral also lists the same sequence under 1 other name.
GGCUCGUUGGUCUAGGGGUAUGAUUCUCGCUUGGGUGCGAGAGGUCCUCGGGUUCAAAUCCCGGUUGAGCCC